This 388-nucleotide ribosomal RNA is filed under the name Gephyrocapsa cf. oceanica. RNAcentral describes it as "partial small subunit ribosomal RNA". It matches the Rfam family "Eukaryotic small subunit ribosomal RNA", at positions 582 to 975 of the family's 1831-position model. The record is from RNAcentral. Lineage: Eukaryota; Haptophyta; Isochrysidales; Noelaerhabdaceae.
AUUCCAGCUCCAAUAGCGUAUAUUAAAGUUGUUGCAGUUAAAACGCUCGUAGUCGGAUUUCGGGGCGGGCCGACCGGUCUGCCGAUGGGUAUGCACUGGCCGGCGCGUCCUUCCACCCGGAGACCGCGCCUACUCUUAACUGAGCGGGCGCGGGAGACGGGUCUUUUACUUUGAAAAAAUCAGAGUGUUUCAAGCAGGCAGUCGCUCUUGCAUGGAUUAGCAUGGGAUAAUGAAAUAGGACUCUGGUGCUAUUUUGUUGGUUUCUAAGGCCGAGGUAAUGAUUAAUAGGGAUAGUUGGGGGCGUUUAUAUUCCGUUGUCAGAGGUGAAAUUCUUGGAUUUACGGAAGAUAAACUACUGCGAAAGCACUCGCCAAGGAUGUUUUCAUCA